UUGCUUUGGCAGCACAUGCACUAAAAUUGGAAUGAUACAGACAAGAUUAGCACGGCCCCUGCACAAGGAAGUUAUCCAUAUUUUUUAAUAACAACAAAAAAGAU
This is a small nuclear RNA of Pipistrellus kuhlii (Kuhl's pipistrelle), 104 nucleotides long. Lineage: Eukaryota; Metazoa; Chordata; Mammalia; Chiroptera; Vespertilionidae. The record is from RefSeq and is a predicted model, not a curated record.